RNAcentral lists this ribosomal RNA (467 nucleotides) under uncultured Verrucomicrobiota bacterium. RNAcentral's name for it is "bacterial SSU rRNA". It matches the Rfam family "Bacterial small subunit ribosomal RNA", at positions 38 to 483 of the family's 1533-position model. The record is from RNAcentral. Lineage: Bacteria; Pseudomonadati; Verrucomicrobiota.
GGCGGCGUGGAUAAGACAUGCAAGUCGAACGGGAAUUUUUUUGGUAGCAAUACCGAAAAAAUUUCAGUGGCGAACGGGUGCGUAACACGUGGGCAAUCUGCCGAGAAGUGGGGGAUAGCUCGCCGAAAGGCGAAUUAAUACCGCAUGUGAUCAGAGGCGACAUCGCUUCGAAAUCAAAGGUGGCGCAAGCUACCGCUUUUUGAGGAGCCCGCGGCCUAUCAGCUUGUUGGUGAGGUAACGGCUCACCAAGGCGUUGACGGGUAGCUGGUCUGAGAGGACGACCAGUCACACUGGGACUGAGACACGGCCCAGACACCUACGGGUGGCAGCAGUCGAGAAUUUUUCUCAAUGGGGGAAACCCUGAAGGAGCGACGCCGCGUGGAGGAUGAAGGUCUUCGGGUUGUAAACUCCUGUCAUUUGGGAACAAGGCGCAGGUAUUAACUGUACCUGCGUUGAUAGUACCAGAA